GACGUAGGGGGCAAGCGUUGUUCGGAAUUAUUGGGCGUAAAGAGCUUGUAGGCGGUUUGUCGCGUCUGCUGUGAAAAUCCGGGGCUCAACCCCGGACUUGCAGUGGGUACGGGCAGACUAGAGUGUGGUAGGGGAGACUGGAAUUCCUGGUGUAGCGGUGGAAUGCGCAGAUAUCAGGAGGAACACCGAUGGCGAAGGCAGGUCUCUGGGCCACUACUGACGCUGAGAAGCGAAAGCAUGGGGAGCGAACAGG
This 253-nucleotide ribosomal RNA is filed under the name uncultured bacterium. RNAcentral's name for it is "partial 16S ribosomal RNA". It matches the Rfam family "Bacterial small subunit ribosomal RNA", at positions 524 to 776 of the family's 1533-position model. The record is from RNAcentral.